GGGGUUGUAGCUCAGUGGUAGAGUGCUUGACUAGAACAUGAGAGGCACUGGGUUCAACCCUCAGCACCACUU
RNAcentral lists this transfer RNA (72 nucleotides) under Ictidomys tridecemlineatus (thirteen-lined ground squirrel). Its description in RNAcentral is "Spermophilus tridecemlineatus (thirteen-lined ground squirrel) tRNA". It matches the Rfam family "tRNA". Rfam says of the family: Transfer RNA (tRNA) molecules are approximately 80 nucleotides in length. Their secondary structure includes four short double-helical elements and three loops (D, anti-codon, and T loops). The record is from Rfam by way of RNAcentral. Lineage: Eukaryota; Metazoa; Chordata; Mammalia; Rodentia; Sciuridae.